GAAGGUAUAGCUUAAAUGGUAGAGUGCAUGCUUAGCAUGAACAAGGUCCUGAGGUCUUGGGUUCAAUCCCUGGUACCUCCU
Molecule: transfer RNA, 81 nt
Filed under: Camelus bactrianus (Bactrian camel)
Lineage: Eukaryota; Metazoa; Chordata; Mammalia; Artiodactyla; Camelidae
Also listed under: 2 other names
Rfam family: tRNA
About the family: Transfer RNA (tRNA) molecules are approximately 80 nucleotides in length. Their secondary structure includes four short double-helical elements and three loops (D, anti-codon, and T loops).
Source: Rfam by way of RNAcentral